This 117-nucleotide non-coding RNA is filed under the name Woeseia oceani. Its description in RNAcentral is "SAM-I sequence". It matches the Rfam family "SAM riboswitch aptamer (S box leader)". Rfam says of the family: The SAM riboswitch is found upstream of a number of genes which code for proteins involved in methionine or cysteine biosynthesis in Gram-positive bacteria. The record is from Rfam by way of RNAcentral. Lineage: Bacteria; Pseudomonadati; Pseudomonadota; Gammaproteobacteria; Woeseiales; Woeseiaceae.
CACUCAUCGAGACCGGCUGAGGGAAAGGCCCAUAGACGCCGGGGCAACCUGCAGGACUAACCAUCCUGAUAAGGUGCCAACUCCUGCGGAGCGCUCAGCGCUUCCGAGAGAUGAGGG